AUGCCCUUCCAGAAGGGCGAACACUUCGAGAUCAUCUUCAUUGUCAACGAUGUCGGAUACCAGAUUCUGGUGAACAGAAACUCCUUCUGUAGCUACGGGCACAGAAUGCCCCCACAAAGCGUGCAUGUUGUGAGUGCUGAUGGAGACCUGGAAUUACAAUCUCUGACCGUGAUGGGAAAUCCAACAAUGGGGAACAUGGGUAUGAUGCCAAACCCUGGAUAUGGGCCACCACAAAAUCUUCCCGUAAGUACUCAGAAGGGGGAAAAAAGGGGGCAGUGCACAAGGAAAUUCAGGGCUAGGGAUUUUAGGAGAAAUAACAUGGAGUUAACGAAAGUCUCU
RNAcentral lists this long non-coding RNA (339 nucleotides) under Naja naja (Indian cobra). Its description in RNAcentral is "lncRNA (ENSNNAG00000015742.1)". The record is from RNAcentral. Lineage: Eukaryota; Metazoa; Chordata; Lepidosauria; Squamata; Elapidae.